AUGGCUGUCGUCAGCUCGUGUUGUGAAAUGUUGGGUUAAGUCCCGCAACGAGCGCAACCCUUAUCCUUUGUUGCCAGCGGUCCGGCCGGGAACUCAAAGGAGACUGCCAGUGAUAAGCUGGAGGAAGGUGGGGAUGACGUCAAGUCAUCAUGGCCCUUACGACCAGGGCUACACACGUGCUACAAUGGCGCAUACAAAGAGAAGCGACCUCGCGAGAGCAAGCGGACCUCAUAAAGUGCGUCGUAGUCCGGAUUGGAGUCUGCAACUCGACUCCAUGAAGUCGGAAUCGCUAGUAAUCGUGGAUCAGAAUGCCACGGUGAAUACGUUCCCGGGCCUUGUACACACCGCCCGUCACACCAUGGGAGUAGGUUGCAAAAGAAGUAGGUAGCUUAACCUUCGGGAGGGCGCUUACCACUUUGUGAUUCAUGACUGGGGUGAAGUCGUAACAAGGUAACCGUAGGGGAACCUGCGGUUGGAUCACCUC
This 484-nucleotide ribosomal RNA is filed under the name uncultured bacterium. RNAcentral describes it as "bacterial SSU rRNA". It matches the Rfam family "Bacterial small subunit ribosomal RNA", at positions 1045 to 1529 of the family's 1533-position model. The record is from RNAcentral.